CCGGCGGCGUAGGAUAGCUCUGCGGCCUAUCAGGUUGUAGCGAGGGUAACGUCCUCGCUAGCCUACGACGGGUAUGGGUGUUGGGAGACAUCGCCCAGAGAUGGAUUCUGAGACACGAAUCCAGGCCCUACGGGGCGCAGCAGGCGCGAAAACUGCACAAUGUGGGAAACCACGAUGCGGGAAACCCAAGUGCCAGCACUAAGUGUUGGCUGUCCUCCAGUGUUCGUAACUGGGGAAGAAAGUGCUGGGUAAGACGGGUGCCAGCCGCCGCGGUAAUACCCGCAGCACAAGUGGUGGUCAUUAUUAUUGGGCCUAAAGCGUCCGUAGCAGGCUUGUUAGAUGCCUGGGUAAAUCGAUGCGCUCAACGCAUCGACUUCCGGGUAGACCGGCAAGCUCGAGACCGGGAGAGGUGUAGGCUACUCGAGGGGUAGGGGUAAAAUCCUGUAAUCCUUCGGGGAGGACCAGUGGCGAAGGCGCUACACUAGAACGGCUCUGACUGUGAGGGACGAAGCCCUGGGGCGCAAACCGGAUUAGAUACCCGGGUAGUCCAGGGUGUAAACGCUGCAGACUUGGUGUCGCCGGUCCUACGAGGGCUGGCGGUGCCGGAGAGAAGUCGUUGAGUCUGCCGCCUGGGGAGUACGGUCGCAAGACUGAAACUUAAAGGAAU
Molecule: ribosomal RNA, 667 nt
Filed under: uncultured archaeon
Lineage: Archaea
Description: bacterial SSU rRNA
Rfam family: Archaeal small subunit ribosomal RNA
Source: RNAcentral